CUCCGCUUGGUGUAGUUGGUUUAUCACGUUCGGCUGUAAUAUCUGGUUGUAACCGAAAGGUCCCUAGUUCGAUUCUGGGAGCGGAGA
Trematosphaeria pertusa is the source of this 87-nucleotide non-coding RNA. NCBI's taxonomy places the organism in Eukaryota, Fungi, Ascomycota, Dothideomycetes, Pleosporales, Trematosphaeriaceae. The record is from the annotation of a RefSeq genome assembly.